RNAcentral lists this ribosomal RNA (328 nucleotides) under uncultured eukaryote. Its description in RNAcentral is "partial 18S ribosomal RNA". It matches the Rfam family "Eukaryotic small subunit ribosomal RNA", at positions 1470 to 1796 of the family's 1831-position model. The record is from RNAcentral.
CCCUUAGAUGUUCUGGGCAGCACGCGCGCUACAAUGGUCUUCGCAAACGGAUGCAUUCUCGAAGGAGAAUGCCAAUCUUGGAAUCUAUGCCUUGGUCGGGACAGUUGCUUGCAAUUUUUCGACUCGAACCAGGAAUUCCUUGUAAUCGUGAUUCAUCACAUCACGAUGAAUACGUCCCCGCCCUUUGUACACACCGCCCGUCGCUACUACCGAUUGGAUGGUUUAGCGAGAACUUUGGACCGGAGCUCGGGUGGUCAGCAAUGGCCGCCCGAGACAUACUGGGAAAUCGCUCCAGCUUGAUCAUCUAGAGGAAGUAAAAGUCGUAACA